UUUCAGCUUGCCCCCCCGAAACUAAACGAGCUACUUCAAAACAGCCUCAAGGGCCAACCCGUCUCUGUCACAAUAGAGUGGGAAGAUUUUUAAGUAGAAGUGAAAAGCCUAUCGAGUUUAGAGAUAGCUGGUUACUCAGUAAAAGAAUAUUAGUUCUGCCUUAAAUUACCCUAUGUUAAUAAACAGACCCCUACAAUUUAAGAGUUACUCAACUAAGGCACAGCUUAUUUGAAACAGGACACAACCUAGAAGAUAGGGUAAAAUCCAACCCCAUAAAAAGUAGGCCCAAAAGCAGCCACCUUUUAAAAAGCGUUAAAGCUUCCUAUUAUCUAUUAUCCAAUCCCAAUAUACACCAUGAACCCCUNCCCCACACUGAGUGAUUUCAUAAAUAUAUGAAAGACAUAAUGCUGAGACUAGUAACAAGAAUNCAACAUUCUCCUAAAUGUAAACUUAACCCAAACCGGAUACACCACUGGCAAUUAACGGAAAUGAGCCAACUACAACAACACAACAAGAAAACCCUGUAGACACCACCGUUAACCUAACACAAGGACAUUUCAGGAAAGAUUAACAGGAAAAGAAGGAACUCGGCAAAUGGCGGCCCCGCCUGUUUACCAAAAACAUCGCCUCUUGACAUCUAUAAGAGGUCCAGCCUGCCCAGUGACAUAGUUCAACGGCCGCGGUAUCCUAACCGCGCGAAGGUAGCAUAAUCACUUGUUCUUUAAAUAAGGACUUGUAUCAACGGCACCACGAGGGCUGUACUGUCUCCUUUUCCCAAUCAGUGAAACUGAUCUCCCUGUGAAAAAGCAGGAAUAACCCUAUAAGACGAGAAGACCCCAUGGAGCUUCAAACCCACCGGCAACUCAUUCACACACUCCCCCUGAACCAAAAGAGACAUGCCCGUAAGUUUUAGGUUGGGGCAACCGCGGAGUAAAAAUUAACCUCCACGACGAAAAGAACUAAACCUUUAUUCAAGAGCCACCCCUCCAGAAAUUAGUAUACUAACGUAAAAUGACCCGAUUAUCGAUCAACGAACCAAGUUACCCUGGGGAUAACAGCGCAAUCUACUUCAAGAGCCCCUAUCGACAAGUAGGCCUACGACCUCGAUGUUGGAUCAGGGCAUCCCAGUGGUGCAGCCG
Molecule: ribosomal RNA, 1139 nt
Filed under: Nyctixalus pictus (painted Indonesian treefrog)
Lineage: Eukaryota; Metazoa; Chordata; Amphibia; Anura; Rhacophoridae
Description: partial 16S ribosomal RNA
Rfam family: Bacterial large subunit ribosomal RNA
Source: RNAcentral